AUGUCACAUGAGAAUCUUAGGCGUAGGUUUAACGUUUGUGGGUUAUACAAGUUGCAUGGACGAAAAGGAUGUAAUUUCUUCAAUUGGUACGAUGAAGAAAUGUUUGUGCGUGCAAAUGAGGUGAUUUUGUCACUAAUGAAGAUAAUUUGUGAACUUAAGAAGAAGGAUAAUAUAAAGCUGAAACAAGAUGAGGAUUUGAAAAAGAAGCUAAAGUUUUGUCAAGGAUUAGUUGUUAUAGUUUUUGUGGUCAUUAUGGGAUUUCUCUGUAUUAUUAACUUGAAGGCUUGUGUUUAG
Vicia faba (fava bean) is the source of this 294-nucleotide non-coding RNA. NCBI's taxonomy places the organism in Eukaryota, Viridiplantae, Streptophyta, Magnoliopsida, Fabales, Fabaceae. The record is from the annotation of a GenBank genome assembly.